RNAcentral lists this ribosomal RNA (253 nucleotides) under uncultured bacterium. RNAcentral's name for it is "partial 16S ribosomal RNA". It matches the Rfam family "Bacterial small subunit ribosomal RNA", at positions 524 to 776 of the family's 1533-position model. The record is from RNAcentral.
GACGAACCGUGCGAACGUUGUUCGGAAUCACUGGGCUUAAAGGGCGCGUAGGCGGGCGGGCAAGUCAGGGGUGAAAUCCCACGGCUCAACCGUGGAAGGGCCCUUGAUACUGCCCAUCUCGAGGGAGGUAGGGGCGUGCGGAACUUCCGGUGGAGCGGUGAAAUGCGUAGAUAUCGGAAGGAACACCGGUGGCAAAAGCGGCGCGCUGGACCUCUUCUGACGCUGAGGCGCGAAAGCCAGGGGAGCAAACAGG